GACGAACGCUGGCGGCGUGCUUAACACAUGCCAGUCGAACGCUGAAGGCCUGGCUUUUGUUGGGUUGGAUGAGUGGCGAACGGGUGAGUAACACGUGAGUAACCUGCCCUCUUCUUUGGGAUAACGCCCGGAGACGGGUGCUAAUACUGGAUAUUCACUGAUCUUCGCAUGGGGGUUGGUGGAAAGGUUUGUUCUGGUGGGGGAUGGGCUCGCGGCCUAUCAGCUUGUUGGUGGGGUGAUGGCCUACCAAGGCUUUGACGGGUAGCCGGCCUGAGAGGGUGACCGGUCACAUUGGGACUGAGAUACGGCCCAGACUCCUACGGGAGGCAGCAGUGGGGAAUAUUGCACAAUGGGCGAAAGCCUGAUGCAGCGACGCCGCGUGAGGGAUGGAGGCCUUCGGGUUGUAAACCUCUUUCGCUCAUGGUCAAGCCGCAACUGUGGGUUGUGGUGAGGGUAGUGGGUAAAGAAGCGCCGGCUAACUACGUG
RNAcentral lists this ribosomal RNA (486 nucleotides) under uncultured bacterium. RNAcentral's name for it is "partial 16S ribosomal RNA". It matches the Rfam family "Bacterial small subunit ribosomal RNA", at positions 28 to 507 of the family's 1533-position model. The record is from RNAcentral.